GUUUGGGGUUUGGUUUCGCAUCCCAAGAGGAACCAAACCCCAUCCAGGACGGGCGAAAGGACCAGGCAGAGCCCUGCGCAGCACAAUUUGGGUUUUCCUGCCCCAAGGGGAAGCUGCUGCACCCGCAGGGAGCCCCCAGGCUGGGGAGAAACGGGGACGUUUGAGGACUCGCAGGCCCUAGAGCAGCUCCCUGAGCAUCUUCCCACUGGGGAAGGCAUCGCGUGUCCUGCUGGGAGCCAAAAAUACCCCAAACCUGACCCCCGGGACUGGGGAACGCUGCCCGAGGACCCCCCUGUGGUGGGGUGGCUGCGCACACGUGUAGGGCACGAGCGCCCCGGGUAGGUGUAAGAAGGGGUCCAGGUCAGCUUGCUUCGGGUGGCCUUGGCCAAGGCCGGUGGCUCGGAGCGUGGCCCCAGGGGUGCCGGGGAGCCCCCAGGGCGCUGCAACAGCCGCUGGGUUUGAUAUUUGGAAAUUAAUUAAUAUGGAUAUUUUGGAAAUGAACAGCAUUUGUGAGUGGCUCAUUUCCACCUCCCUUUGAAGAGCUGUGCACCACCUCUUCCCACGGUGCCGGGCACAGCGCGAGGCUGGAGAAGGAGCUGAGGGGGGAUUUCUUCCCUAAAAUGCAGCCCCAUCCCACCCAGGACCACGCUGCCCAUCGCGGACACGAGGUGCUACGCAGGAUCCACGAGCCCGAGGAGGACGAGCAGCAGCAGGGCGGGUUCAGGGGGCUGCCGGUGCUCCCUGUGCCACCGGCACCCAGCCCGUCCCUCAGCACGAAGCCAGGGGCUGCUCCCACGCGGAGGGCGAGGACUGGACACGAAGCAGGGACAGCAACGGGCUCCCCUCGGCCACGGCUCGGAGGACGGCGGCUGCAGGAGGGAUGGAGCCGAGCUCUUGGAUGCGCCUGGCCGAGAUGGGCACCAUCGGCACAGCUGCACGGGGACCACCGCGGCUUCCAUCGGCUCAAAUCAGGCUCAAAAUGCACCGAGCUUCACCUCAGAAGUGGGACAGGGGUUGUAACGAUGCCACGGCUGAAUGAGGAGUGGAAAGAGAGCCCCCUGCUCGCUCUGGAGGUACCACGGGUCAAAAUGCUGCAGGUUUGUGCUGAGCUCGGCAGCCAAGACCGAGCCAAAACUGCGUUAUUCGUGGGCUCAAACCAAGAUGGGGCCCUCAGAGAGAACUAA
Molecule: long non-coding RNA, 1184 nt
Filed under: Cairina moschata (Muscovy duck)
Lineage: Eukaryota; Metazoa; Chordata; Aves; Anseriformes; Anatidae
Description: domestica (muscovy Duck (domestic type)) lncRNA (ENSCMMG00000009893.1)
Source: RNAcentral